GUCCUGAGAGGUGUCGGAUGCUCUUGGCUUUAAGGAUCAAUGUCUUAGCCAAAGGAUACAGUGGCAUUUCCCUGGAGACCCUCAAACAAGUCAUAGAAAUGUUUAAUGCCUCCUGCCUGCCCUAUGUUCCAGAGAAAGGAACCGUUGGUGCCAGUGGAGACCUUGCCCCACUCUCUCAUCUUGCUCUUGGGCUAAUUGGAGAAGGGAAGAUGUGGUCUCCAAAGAGUGGCUGGGCUGAUGCUAAAUAUGUAAGACUCGUAGCAGCUUCUAUCUGCAGCAAUUGCCCUAGGUUGGACACCAACUGUGCUUCCAUGCUUCGUAUCACCUAAUCCUUACAACAGCCCAGUGAGGG
Molecule: small RNA, 352 nt
Filed under: Pan troglodytes (chimpanzee)
Lineage: Eukaryota; Metazoa; Chordata; Mammalia; Primates; Hominidae
Description: retained intron
Source: RNAcentral